Molecule: ribosomal RNA, 533 nt
Filed under: uncultured bacterium
Lineage: Bacteria
Description: bacterial SSU rRNA
Rfam family: Bacterial small subunit ribosomal RNA
Source: RNAcentral
AAUAGAUACCCGGGUAGUCCACGCCGUAAACUAUGAUUACUCGAUGUCGGCGAUAUACUGUCGGUGUCCAAGCGAAAGUGAUAAGUAAUCCACCUGGGGAGUACGAUCGCAAGGUUGAAACUCAAAGGAAUUGACGGGGGCCCGCACAAGCGGUGGAGCAUGUGGUUUAAUUCGAUGAUACGCGAGGAACCUUACCUGGGCUUGAAUGCAUUAUGACCGUCCCGGAAACGGGACUUUCUUCGGACAGAAUGCAAGGUGCUGCAUGGUUGUCGUCAGCUCGUGCUGUGAGGUGUCGGGUUAAGUCCCAUAACGAGCGCAACCCCUAUUCUUAGUUGCCAGCGGGUAAUGCCGGGGACUCUAAGAAAACUGCCCGCGUAAGCGGUGAGGAAGGUGGGGAUGACGUCAAAUCAUCACGGCCCUUACGUCCAGGGCUACACACGUGCUACAAUGGUCAGUACAAAGGGCAGCUACCUGGUGACAGGAUGCUAAUCUCGAAAACUGAUCUCAGUUCGGAUCGAAGUCUGCAACUCGUA